Molecule: long non-coding RNA, 565 nt
Organism: Alosa sapidissima (American shad)
Lineage: Eukaryota; Metazoa; Chordata; Actinopteri; Clupeiformes; Clupeidae
Exons: 3
Source: RefSeq, a predicted model, not a curated record
GUUUGCGAUGCAAACCUUGAUUAAGGUGAUACUGGCACUGGUAUUUCAGUCAAUGAAGUCAGUGAAGCACUCGUCUGCUAUGAUAGCUACCUACAACUUUAGCAUGUUGACUCACUGAUAAUGGUUUAGCCCUAACCUCUAGCUAGCUGUGCAUUAACGUUUGCAUUUUGCCAAGUUUGGAAUCAUAACAUUACGUAACUUUAGUUUCUAUCUGCCAUCUUUGUAAUGAAAGCCUCGGCAUUUUAAUCACUGUUUAAGUCGGUUCAGACAACUAUUGGCAUCUGUUUGUGAUUUAUUAUGCUAACGUAACUUAACUGUAUGGAACGUGGUCCCCAUCUUCUAUUUUGUUUGUUCUGCAGCGUCAACUUUUAUCGGCUGGAUUCUAGCAUCUAACGUUACGAUUGCCUCUGUUGGGUUUGCUUGAUCAACCAUCGUUUCGGGGACUCUGAUGACAGUGAAGAGCCAGAAAAUGGUGACUUUGCAUCUCUGAGGUACCUUCCAACUCGCCUGGUAUAUCAGUUGAAGCAAACUCCACCAUGUCGCCGAGUGCCAGGCAGCCGAGUCA